CGCGUUGCUAAACCGGCAGUGUUGUUACAGCAGCGGUUGUUUUGCGGUUGUUUAGCAGAUCAUUAAAGCUUUAAUAGAGAAGAUCUCAGCUCUGAUCUGGCCUGGUACCUGAGCGCCCCCUCCUGGAUGUGGGCUGUAAUCGAUGCCCUCUUCAGCUGCUAGUCUGGAGCUCCAGUAGCAGGACCAGUGUUCAUGUGUGUGAGCUGCAGGGAGGCUGUAGGAUGAAGGUGAUCGUGGACGUGGUGUGGAUGGUGUGGGGAAUCGGGGCCUGGGUGUACGAUUACUUCCACACCAGCGCCAUGGAGGAGAGGAUCCAUACCUUGGAGAACGUCCUGACCAUCCACCAGUUCCUCAUAGUGUUCCUCACAGCCAGCCUCGCCGUGCUCAUCUCCUACAUCGUUUUUAAGAAGCACUGAUGCGCCGGGAUGGUGCUGGAACCCAUCAGGAGAUGUUUCUGAUAGAUGGACACAUUAAAUGUGCAGUCAGCUGUUCACUGGUGUCACAGAUUUCUAACCUGCCAUGUGACUGGUGGUGCUUUCUGUUCUGUCCUGAUUAUUUCUGAUCCACCUGUGGGGUGCAGAAUAUUUACUAUCAGCUGCUAUUAACAAUGUUUGAAACUAAAAUCCCUGGUGCCACCUUUACCUGUAUCACCACACGUGGAGCUGGUGAAUAUUUAGCAUGUACGUGAUUUAACCCAGGGAUAAUGUGAAGGGGUGAAUUUUAGGGAUCCAAGAGGACUCUAAAGAAUCGUGAAAAUGGUUCAGGAUGAUAAACGGGAUGACAACACUAGUUUUGUACUUUAAUUAAAUAACAAUUUCCUAAACUUUGUCAUGUUUACGAUAAUAAAACCACUGUGUUACUG
Trichomycterus rosablanca is the source of this 862-nucleotide long non-coding RNA. RefSeq lists it as uncharacterized. NCBI's taxonomy places the organism in Eukaryota, Metazoa, Chordata, Actinopteri, Siluriformes, Trichomycteridae. The transcript is spliced from 2 exons. The record is from RefSeq and is a predicted model, not a curated record.